AGGGAAACAACCCAGACCGUCAGCUAAGGUCCCAAAUUAUGAUUAAGUGGGAAACAAUGUGGGAAGGCACAAACAGCUAGGAGGUUGGCUUAGAAGCAGCCACCCUUUAAAGAAAGCGUAAUAGCUCACUAGUCGAGUCGGCCUGCGUGGAAGAUAUAACGGGGCUAAAUCAUAAACCGAAGCUACGGAUCUUAAAUUUAUUUAAGAUGGUAGAAGAGCGUUCUGUAAGCGGUCGAAGGCGUGCUGUAAGGCGUGCUGGACGUAUCAGAAGUGCGAAUGUUGACAUGAGUAACGAUCAAAGAGGUGAAAAACCUCUUCGCCGAAAAUCCAAGGUUUCCUGUCCAACGCUAAUCGAGGCAGGGUGAGUCGGCUCCUAAGGCGAGGGCGAAAGCCGUAGUCGAUGGAAAACAGGUUAAUAUUCCUGUACUUCUUAUAAUUGCGAUGGGGUGACGGAGAAGGUUAGGCUAGCACGGCGAUGGUUGUCCGUGUUCAAGGUUGUAGACUUAGAUCUUAGGUAAAUCCGGGAUCUUUUAAGGUCGAGAACUGAUAACGACCACUCUUUGAGUGGGAAGUAGUUGAUACCAUGCUUCCAGGAAAAACCUCUAAGCUUCAGAUUAUAAGGAACCGUACCCGAAACCGACACAGGUGGAUAAGUCGAGAAGACUAAGGUGUUUGAGAGAACUAUGGUGAAGGAACUAGGCAAAAUGGUACCGUAACUUCGGGAGAAGGUACGCCACCAUCGGUGAUAAGACUUGCUCUUUAAGCUGAUUGUGGUCGAAGAAACUAGGUGGCUGCGACUGUUUAUUAAAAACAUAGCACUCUGCAAAAUCGUAAGAUGACGUAUAGGGUGUGACGCCUGCCCGGUGCCGGAAGGUUAAUUGAUGGGGUUAGCUUUGGCGAAGCUCCUGAUCGAAGCCCCGGUAAACGGCGGCCGUAACUAUAACGGUCCUAAGGUAGCGAAAUUCCUUGUCGGGUAAGUUCCGACCUGCACGAAUGGCGUAAUGAUGGCCACGCUGUCUCCACCCAAGACUCAGUGAAAUUGAAAUUGCUGUUAAGAUGCAGUGUACCCGCGGCUAGACGGAAAGACCCCGUGCACCUUUACUAUAGCUUCACACUGGACUUUGACCUUAUCUGUGUAGGAUAGGUGGGAGACUUUGAAGCGCUAUCGCUAGAUAGCGUGGAGUCGCCCUUGAAAUACCACCCUGGUAACGUUGAGGUUCUAACUUAGGUCCCUAAUCGGGAUUGAGGACAGUGUGUGGUGGGUAGUUUGACUGGGGCGGUCUCCUCCUAAAGAGUAACGGAGGAGCACGAAGGUACCCUAAGAGCGGUCGGAAAUCGCUCGUUUAGUGUAAUGGCAUAAGGGUGCUUGACUGCGAGAGUGACAACUCGAGCAGGAGCGAAAGCUGGUCAUAGUGAUCCGGUGGUUCUGAAUGGAAGGGCCAUCGCUCAACGGAUAAAAGGUACGCCGGGGAUAACAGGCUGAUACCGCCCAAGAGUUCACAUCGACGGCGGUGUUUGGCACCUCGAUGUCGGCUCAUCACAUCCUGGGGCUGAAGCCGGUCCCAAGGGUAUGGCUGUUCGCCAUUUAAAGUGGUACGCGAGCUGGGUUUAGAACGUCGUGAGACAGUUCGGUCCCUAUCUGCCGUGG
Molecule: ribosomal RNA, 1648 nt
Filed under: marine metagenome
Description: bacterial LSU rRNA
Rfam family: Bacterial large subunit ribosomal RNA
Source: RNAcentral